AGAGUUUGAUCAUGGCUCAGGAUGAACGCUGGCGGCGUGCUUAACACAUGCAAGUCGAGCGAAGCACUUAUGACGAUCCUUCGGGUGAAUCAUUUGUGACUGAGCGGCGGACGGGUGAGUAACGCGUGAGUAACCUGCCUCAUACAGGGGAAUAACAGUUGGAAAUGACUGCCAAUGCCGCAUAAGCGCACAGGGCCGCAUGGCCCGGUGUGAAAAACUCCGGUGGUAUGAGAUGGACUCGCGUCUGAUUAGCUAGUCGGCAGGGUAACGGCCUACCAAGGCGACGAUCAGUAGCCGGCCUGAGAGGGUGAACGGCCACAUUGGGACUGAGACACGGCCCAAACUCCUACGGGAGGCAGCAGUGGGGAAUAUUGCACAAUGGGGGAAACCCUGAUGCAGCGACGCCGCGUGAGCGAUGAAGUAUUUCGGUAUGUAAAGCUCUAUCAGCAGGGAAGAAAAUGACGGUACCUGACUAAGAAGCACCGGCUAAAUACGUGCCAGCAGCCGCGGUAAUACGUAUGGUGCAAGCGUUAUCCGGAUUUACUGGGUGUAAAGGGAGCGUAGACGGAGUGGCAAGUCUGAUGUGAAAACCCGGGGCUCAACCCCGGGACUGCAUUGGAAACUGUCAAUCUAGAGUACCGGAGAGGUAAGCGGAAUUCCUAGUGUAGCGGUGAAAUGCGUAGAUAUUAGGAGGAACAUCAGUGGCGAAGGCGGCUUACUGGGCUUUAACUGACGCUGAGGCUCGAAAGCGUGGGGAGCAAACAGGAUUAGAUACCCUGGUAGUCCACGCCGUAAACGAUGAUUACUAGGUGUGGGGGGACUGACCCCUUCCGUGCCGCAGCAAACGCAAUAAGUAAUCCACCUGGGGAGUACGACCGCAAGGUUGAAACUCAAAGGAAUUGACGGGGGCCCGCACAAGCAGUGGAGUAUGUGGAUUAAUUCGAAGCAACGCGAAGAACCUUACCAGGUCUUGACAUCGUAUGCAUAGCUCAGAGAUGAGUGAAAUCUCUUCGGAGACAUAUAGACAGGUGGUGCAUGGUUGUCGUCAGCUCGUGUCGUGAGAUGUUGGGUUAAGUCCCGCAACGAGCGCAACCCUUACUGUUAGUUGCUACGCAAGAGCACUCUAGCAGGACUGCCGUUGACAAAACGGAGGAAGGUGGGGAUGACGUCAAAUCAUCAUGCCCCUUAUGACCUGGGCCUCACACGUACUACAAUGGCUGUCAACAGAGGGAAGCAAAGCCGCGAGGUGGAGCGAACCCCUAAAAGCAGUCUUAGUUCGGAUUGUAGGCUGCAACCCGCCUACAUGAAGUCGGAAUUGCUAGUAAUCGCAGAUCAGCAUGCUACGGUGAAUACGUUCCCGGGCCUUGUACACACCGCCCGUCACGCCAUGGGAGUCGGUAACACCCGAAGCCUGUAGUCUAACCGCAAGGAGGACGCAGUCGAAGGUGGGAUUGAUGACUGGGGUGAAGUCGUAACAAGGUA
RNAcentral lists this ribosomal RNA (1482 nucleotides) under metagenome. RNAcentral describes it as "bacterial SSU rRNA". It matches the Rfam family "Bacterial small subunit ribosomal RNA". The record is from RNAcentral.